GUUCAAAAUGUGUUAGGUGGCCACUAUAAUUCAUUAAGUCAAAGUACGCAACAUUUGCUCCGAAAAACCAGAGCUGAUUUUCAUUUCCAUAUUAACUUCAAUUUCAAUAAUAUUAAUUAGAAGAUAGUUUUAAUUUUGAUUUGAAACUAAUUCAAUUUUAACUUGAUUUGGUUCAUAAUUCCAACCGAGGCCAUGUUUAGCUCCAGAGAUCCAAAAACAAAUG
Molecule: unclassified non-coding RNA, 223 nt
Filed under: Hevea brasiliensis (rubber tree)
Lineage: Eukaryota; Viridiplantae; Streptophyta; Magnoliopsida; Malpighiales; Euphorbiaceae
Source: RNAcentral